AUGGAUCUGGGCGAAAAGCUGCGGGAGGGAGAGUUGUCGGCUGGAGGGCAGAUAGCAAACGGUGGAGUUGGAGGGAGUACGACGGAGAGGGGAUCCGCGACAGAGGCCGAUCGGGAGGACGAUGGGGGGGAGGAUUGGGAUCACCUUGGUCCCAACCCAACCCUAGUAGAUGCGUUCGAGGGCAUGAACCUUCACGGUGAAGAGGAGGAGGACUUGGACCUAUCCGGGGAGGUUGAGGAGUUAAUCAAAGAGGUUCGUUGGCUGGCGUUAUUUAGGGUUCAUACCAUGAGGCCCUUUAGCCAUGCUGCUUUACUAAACGCCAUGAGGAAUGCCUGGGUUUGUGCACAAGGGGUAACCUUCAAUAUCAAGGGGCCGAAUCUGUUCCUGGCGCAAUUUCAUUGUCUAGGUGACUGGAAGAGGGUGAUGGAAGGGGGGCCGUGGCAGUUCAGAAGGGACCCCGUAGUAAUGGUGGAGUAUGAUGGAUUCACAAAUGUAGCUGAAUAUUCGCUUGAUAUGUAUCCUCUGUGGGCCAGAAUAGAAGGGCUUCCAGAUGGUUUGACGAGGAAGAGGGAGCUUGCGGAGAAGGUGGCGAAGAAGACCCACCAUUUACAUUAG
This 615-nucleotide ribosomal RNA is filed under the name Triticum aestivum (bread wheat). Its description in RNAcentral is "partial small subunit ribosomal RNA". Lineage: Eukaryota; Viridiplantae; Streptophyta; Magnoliopsida; Poales; Poaceae. The record is from RNAcentral.